GGUUCCGUGGCGUAGGGGUUAACAUGCCUGCCUGUCACGCAGGAGAUCGCGGGUUCAAAUCCCGUCGGGACCG
This 73-nucleotide transfer RNA is filed under the name Listeria monocytogenes. RNAcentral describes it as "tRNA-Asp". It matches the Rfam family "tRNA". From Rfam's summary of the family: Transfer RNA (tRNA) molecules are approximately 80 nucleotides in length. Their secondary structure includes four short double-helical elements and three loops (D, anti-codon, and T loops). Further hydrogen bonds mediate the characteristic L-shaped molecular structure. tRNAs have two regions of fundamental functional importance: the anti-codon, which is responsible for specific mRNA codon recognition, and the 3' end, to which the tRNAs corresponding amino acid is attached (by aminoacyl-tRNA synthetases). tRNAs cope with the degeneracy of the genetic code in two manners: having more than one tRNA (with a specific anti-codon) for a particular amino acid; and 'wobble' base-pairing, i.e. permitting non-standard base-pairing at the 3rd anti-codon position. The record is from RNAcentral. Lineage: Bacteria; Bacillati; Bacillota; Bacilli; Caryophanales; Listeriaceae.